GAUGUCUUUGAUCUACCUCUCCGGAUGGCUAGGGGUCAAAUAGAAGAGAGUUUGCGCACUAAGAUGGCUUCCAUAAAGGGAACACAUGGUUCAGUUACAAGAUGUGCCUAAAGGAGCAUAUGUUACUUCUGAAGGAACCGAGAGAGAAAGCUUGAACUUGAAGCUCAGCUUGUCGAGGCAAGAAGCAUAAUCCAAGAACAAGGAGUCCAUAAUGUGUAAACAUCUCCUAAAAUCAGAGAAGCGAAGGUAUUUGUGUCUUUGAAACAAAUAACGAUUGACAAACUUGUUGCAGAUAAUCCUUAGUUCCAUUGACAGCUGAGGUAUACUUAUAGACUUAUCUCUAUUGCAUAUCUUUGUAACACCCAUGGGCGAAUCUAGACUGUUUGAUGGGUGGGUGCACUAUUGCUAUUAAAAAACCAUAGAUGCAUAUGAAAAAGAUCGAACCAUGGGAAGUAUGGGUGCACAAGGUGCUUUUUACCAUAUGAACUAAGAUAAUUUUGAUGUUUCUGUAUACAAAAUUUUGAACUUUAAGAUAAUUGUGGGUGCACUUGCCCCCACACCUUACAACCUGGCUUUUACACCCUUUCUUCUUUUUGGUCUAUUGAUAUAGUGAAUCUACAGGUGGAGUAUGAAAAUGUUGUAACUCAAAAACGAUGGAUCCAAGUGAAGGAACUUUGCUGAAGAGAUUGCCACAACAUGUGUAUUUUAUUCACCGUCACCAAGCCAUCUUCUUGGAUAUCUAAAUAUGUACAGCUUUUAGUUGUAUCAGUAAUAGCGAUCCUUUCUCCUUUUUGGAUAUCAAAUCUUAUUAUCAUCAUAUUGUAUGAUCCACUCCAGUAAUUUGUACAAAUGAAUCAAAGCUCUAGGAGGAUUAGUAGAAAUGAAGACAUGCUUAACUUGACAUACGAAAUUUCUUUUCAAUGCCGAUACUCUAGCUUAAACGUUAGCUUAGUGUUAAGAACUUAAGGUUUUAUAGAACACAAAAGAUCAUGUCAUUCUCUGUGUUGAUUGAUUGAUUUUUAUCAUACCAAAACAUCGAUAUUUAUAUACUUUGAUGGAGUUCCUUAAACUAUAGAAAUUACUCAAUUAAACAAGGCAAUCUUGGUUGUCAUCAGUUGUGACUGUUUGUCGCAAGUGUGAUUGUCUGGACUGAUAUCUCACUAAAACCGGUGAAACCACCCGGAUUCGAGUCUCGGCCACUGGAGAAUUAAUAUUUCGGCAUCGCCAUGGAGGGACAGAGGACCGACACACAUAGUAACACAUGACUAGUAUGGACCACUUCUGUGGGGUCAGGAUACCCAUGUAUAAUUUUAAAAAAAAAUCAAUGUAGAAUGUACAAAAGCUUAUAACUACUCUCUCUAUGAAAAAAAUAUUUUUUUAUUUGGUGUUUUUGACCAUUUGUAUUAUAUAGUAUGAUUCUUUAUUCCUUUGAUUUUUUUAAUUAAUGCAAUUUCAUAUAAAGGGAGGCAAACAAAUAAUUUUUAAAACUAGACGAAAAGCUGAACCGGAUAGUUAUUUUGAUCAUGGUUCGAUAUGGUUUGAUCUGGUCAAACAUGGUUCAAUAAUCUGGUAUAAUAAAUUUUAGUAUAUUAAUUUAAAAGUGAUAUUAGUAAAUAUGAUUGCACAUAUAUUACCAUCGAGUCCACUGAAAGACCACAUUGAGCAGGGAGCCACGGAAAGACCACAUCGGUUGCACACAUAUUACCAUCGAGUCCACGGAAAGACCAUAAAUUUUUUACUAUUAUUAAUUAUCAAAAUCAAUAGAACUUAUUUUAAAGUUCACCUUGUAAAACACUGUUGAUUAUCGAUUUCACCCGCUUUAGUUAUACGUUUAAAAUAUCCUAGAUAUAUGUAUUUUUAUACAUCCCAAAUCAGUAAAAUUUUCAACUUUAAAAAUGUUACUAAAAUUCUUUGAAAAUAGUUGCAGUGUUUAAAUAAUUAAUUUUUAUAUAUUUAGAUUUACUACCGGAAAAAUGGGCAAACGUUUUGUUAUUCUCAUAUUUUUUUGUUUUGCAACCAAAAUUUAUCUUUUCAUUAUUCAAGAUGAGUUAUAGGUAAUUUCAUGUUGUUUAUUGUUUUUUUUUAUCACAAUAAGAGUACAAAGAAAGAUCUUAGUACCAAUCGGCGAGGGACGAGCUUCUAGUGUCUAGCCAAUAAGGCACCGACGUAUUAAUAUACGAGAAAACACGGUUUCUUGUUCGAGUGUGCUUUGCAAGGAAGUCCGCUUGAGUGUUACUGGAUCUAGGUUGAUAAACCACUUUUCCGCCCUGAUAAGACGCCCAAAGGGAUUUAAACUCAGUAAGUUCAGCUGCAAAGCUAGAUGUUCUUCUGAAUUUGUGAUCAUUUUGACUAACUCUUGGGAAUCACUAACAAAGUAAUCGCAGAACCGCUGAUGGUGAGAUAAACAUUUCAAUGCUCAUACUAAACUCUUUAGCUUGGUAUGUAGGGCCAAAUUAACUUAUGGCAAACUUGAAGGCUGAGGAUAUCUAUUGAUUCAUCCUACUCCACUCGUGUUUCCGUCAUUCUUCCAUGAUCCAUCUACUCGGCAAGUAAAUGUGGGUAGGUCUGGAGGGUUCCAUGGUAUGAAAACUGUGGCACUAUCGCUUGGUUCGGUCUCCUCAUUGGCCAGAACAAUGCAUUACAAUUCCAUGUUGUUUGUUGUGUAUGUUUUCUGAUGAAUAUUAGUGAAAUUUAAUGUCACAUGUUACAAAAAGGAUUUUUCCCCCAAAACAAAUAAGAAAUUGAAAAUUUUGAUAACCGAUGAAUAAAAAGCAAAAAACAAAAUGAAUAUAGUGUAUACAUAAAUUUUUUUUAAAAAGUAUUAUGUUUGGGUUUCUAUUUAUUCUAAAUGCAAUAAAAUCAUAUAUAUUUUUAUAAAAAGAAAUUGUCAUAUAUAAAUAUUAAAUAGGUUUGAUGUUCAUUUUAAUUUUUUGAUAACAUAUAUAGUAAUUUAUUAUGUUGAUAUUUGAAUUCAUACUUUUGUAUUAAUAAAUAUCCACAAAUCAUAAGAUACUCCGCAUUUGCGGACAAAACGACUAGUAAAAAAAUUCAAAUAUAAUCUAAUUUUAUGUUCAUAUGGAUGGUUUAUAGAUUUUUGAUAGUUUUUUGUAGUUUUUAUCAGUUUAAUAACUUUGAGAUCCAAUCCGGCUAUGUGAUCGGUUUACGGUCAAAUCCGGUUCAACCAUUGGGUCGGUCCGGUUUAAAAAAAAACUGAUGAAAAUUGAAAACAUCUUUUUCUGGCGGCAAUUGAAAACUUCUUAAUAGCCGUGCAACAACCGUAAACAACAACUAAUCGAAUUAGAGAGAAUAGUACUUUUAUUCUCCUGCCAACCAUAACAAUUUCAUGUUUGUAACAUAAGUUAUGUACUUAUGUUACGUUAAAUUACCUACUCGGCUGCGUGGUUACGUGAUUAUAACUUCUGUUGGAUUAGGCAUAAUUAAUUCUUAUAUUUUCCGUAAUAAACGGAUUCUGUUAUAGUAAUUGCGUGAUUAGUGAAAUGAAUCCAAAUGGGUCAAACGCUUUACGAGAAAAUAAUCUUUUUUUUUCUAUGAAAUUGAGGAGCACGCAAAGUUUGGCGUCUCUUAAGGGAUGUUUAUUUGCCUCACAAGCGCAUAUGAAAUGACACCGUCCUUAGACUGCACUAACGUGCCCUUCAUAUUAUAAAUGUAGUCUAGCUAUAGAUUGGAAAUGAGGAAUAAAGGAAUAGCUUUUUUUCUUUAAACAACCAUAUACGUGCAUAUAAAGAGUUUAACACAUACACACGCAAACCACUUAACUGAAUAGUUCAUGUGUACAGGGAAGCAAACCACUUAGCUGAUGGUUUGGUUAACCUGGCUUUUUCAUUACCGUUUGGUUUUCAUAGGUUUGACAUUGCACUUUUAGAGAUUGUUACGUUAUUGAGUGAGGAUGUUGAUGGACCUCUACGGUCACGACAGAUUCGUUUGUAGUUUGAUUCUGUUUCUUUAAUAAAUAUUGGGAGGCUUUCUCCCAAUUUCUUACCCAAAAAAAACACAUACACACGCACACAAAAAACUAGUAUAACAUAUAAGGAACUCAAAUAUUUAUUUGGAUGAUACGUUUACCAAUUAUAAAACAUUAACUGCUUUCCUUGUUAAACGACUUACCGCAGUAUUUCCCGGGCUGAAAAAUAUACACAAUAAAUGUUUUCGAUAGUAAUGGUUGUUUCUUCUUUUGGCUAAUUGAGUUUCUUUUUUUUUUCCGUCAAAGUUUUGAUAUUAAUGGAGAAUGGGCCAAGCCCAAUUACAAAACUGAAAACCGCAUACACUACAAUUCCGAAAAAGACAACAAGCCCACAGGCCAACCAAGAAGAGUUAAUGGGCCAGCGACCCAACACCCAAACCACGAGACACCCGACGACUUCGGCUGGUCCACGCGUCGAGGAGACCGGAUACGUGGAAUGAUCAGGACCGUCGGAGCGACACGCAUCACUUCCGUCUCCACUCAACCGUCACCGCUUGGAAACAUCGCCGGAGCUGCCUCAGUUUCUUAAAUUGUUUGUUUAGAAUAAAUAUUGGGUUUUGCUACAUAAAUGCUGAAAUAACAAAAUAUGUAUGAACAUCGAUAUUCUUAUGAAUCUAAUCCUCCAACUCAAUCGAUGAAACCACUAAACCACACCUAUUUUUAUUAACUUUGAUGUUAAUGAUAAGAAAUUAAAUUCAUCGUGUAUUUACAUUUUCAUGUGCACAAGCAACCAAGUCACCAAAGAAAUAAGCAAUAGAGCUUAUAAAGUCAAUCCCUUAAUUAUUAAAUUGAUAAAAAAAAAAGACAUAAUCCUCAAACUCAUUACAUGUAAUAUGCGUCUAAGAUUCACAUAGUCAACUCGGCCAACCUUAAUAUCAAUUUAAAUAUAUUCUUUCCUUAAUUGUAUAUACAUUUAUUUUCAUUCUAUAUCAUCUCCGUAUAUCUCACGUCUCAUAUCUUCUGUGAUUCAUCGAUCAUAUAAUAAUAAACUUCUCACGUAUCUCAUAGCUUUUCUCUCUAUCUAUACAAACUAGCAUUCAUCAUGAAUCAAGAACACAAUAACACAGCUCCAACACCAAAAGCUUCGUUAUUAUUGAUGGAAGAUAAUCUAUGCAAGAGAGGAUCAGUCAUUUCAAGAAACUCCUCGGUCGGAGUCUCUUCUAGAAUCUUUUAUUAUUAUCAUCAUCGGGGGCUCGACGGUGGUGUUCCAUUCAAGUGGGAGAUGCAGCCUGGAACGCCCAUCAAUCCCCAGCCGGAAGAAAUAGUUCCUCCGCUUACUCCUCCUCCGGCGCUUCUCAGCCGUAGCCUCACUAAACCCUCCUUCGGAGAAUCUAAUAAACAUUCUAUUUUUCCGGCGAAUCUUAAGCUUUGGAAAUGGAAGAAUCUUCGUCAUAGAUAUUUCUCUAAAUGGCCAAGCCAAAGCAUGCUUAGUCGAGGUAAUUAAUCGUUAUGUUUAUCACAACUUUUAUAUGUUAUUACAUGACUACUUCGCAAAGUAAAUAGUAUAUUGCUUUUAUAAUUAAGUGCAAGCCAAAUAGUUAUAUCUUUGAAAUUAAGUUUUGAUUGAUAGCAAUAUAUAUGAAAGAAAUGUGCCAAACAAAAUAAUCCUGUUAAAAAGCGGAAUCACAUAUUAAUUGUGGAAUGUUAUGUAUCUUUGUCAACUAAUCUUGCAGAAUCAAGUAAUACAAAAAAAAUUGUGUAAUUGGUAAAAAUCUUAAGUUAAUCAUUUUCCUAUUGAAUCUAUUCUGUAAAUCAUAACUUAUAUAUUGUUACUAGAUACUCAAUGUGACCCUUUUGUCUUUUUAAAAUUCAUGUAAAAUAAUGUUUUUAUCAUCUAUAUAUAUGUAAAUUAUAUUAUAGAUAAACGUUUGCAUGUAUUAUCCAUAUAUCAGACUAUAAGAAUGCUCGUCACGGUGAUUCAAGCUCGUGUGGUGAAUCAGAGAGAGUUGAGGAGUCUGAGGAUUACAGGUCGAGCUCUUCUUCUUCUUCUUCAUCGUCAUCUUCCUCAAAAGAUCGAAAAUUGGUGAAGGCAUCACCACGUCAAUGGUUUAGCGGGUGUCCACCUCGAAAUCUAAAGAGUAGUACCGGUUUUCGUUAGAAUUCUUCUCUUGAAUUAUCGUAUUGUACCAAAUUAGAAGUUAGAUUACAAGGAUAAAAAUGAAAAAUUAUAUAGAUUACGUCGGAAAUGAUCAGACUAUUGUAUAAACAUUCUUAUUUUUCAACAUUAGUUUUUUUCUCAAAUAUUAAAUAAUUGUUAUCAUUUUUUUGUGCAACCAUUAUUUUAGAAUUAAAAAAAAGAUUGGGCCUAUAAUUGGCCCCGAAUCCAUUACAGAAGAUAUAUUAAGUUUUAAAACCCGUUUUGCUAGAAAAUCGGUUCUUGAAUUUCAAGAACGAAAGAUAUGAGAGAAAAUGAAAAAGUCAAAUGCCGAAGAGGUCUAUUUAAUUUCAGUGAUGAUACCAAAAAUUUCCAUGAUUUGGAGUUUGUUUGAUUACUCCGAUGAACGUUAAAAAGUAUAUUUUGAAGUUGAGUAUGUCAAAAUCUGUUGUUGUUAGAGGAUCCGAUUUAAUUGCUAAGUCUCAGCUAUUAAAGGCGAGACUAGAGUUUUAUCACCGCAAGCAGUUUUUCAAUAAACAAUUUAAUGACAUUUUCAAAUACAUAGGUUAUUUGGAUAUUUUUAGGUUUCUACGAAUUUAUUUGGAUUUGGAAGGAUAUGAUUCGAAUCAUCUCCGGAAAUUUGUAAUAUCCGAAUGGAGUGCAGUUUAAAAACUCAACAAAUUGUAGUUCCAAAAAAUGAUUCAUAUUCGAGUGGGUAUUUAGAUGUCCAUGUCUAAUUGAUUUUGUAAAUAAAUAAAAAAUUAUUUGUUAUCUGAUUUGAAGUGUUGUUACCAAUGAAAUAAUUUUAUUCAAAUCUGUGAAAUUAUUAUGGUUAACAAGUAAUAUAAAUGUUGUGGAAUUAUUAUAUUAAAUACAGUUAAUGAAAUUAGUUAGGAAGAGUGAAAAAGAAAAAUGUAAUAAAAUAAUUUUAAAUAUAAGUUUUGUUUUAUACUUUGUAAUAAAUGCUGUUAAAUUAAUUUUUUUUUUAAACAAUAAAUAAAGGGGUCGGACUUAGUUAAAAAUGCUUGAAUCUGUAAAAAAAACAUCUAAAAAUAGGUAAAUAUUAUUUUCUACUUCAAUUUUAAUAGAAUAGAUAAAGUAAUCUACCUGAACAGAAUUACUAUUUAUUAAUAGAGCUGUUUGGGUGUAAAUGUUAAAAUUAUUAAGGUUUAUUUUACGGAUAAAGUGAUGAAUAUUUAAGUUUCCACGUAGUCAAGCUGUUAUUCAUCUGUGAUACUUUAUAAUAUACACACUAGGUGGAGACAUGCGCCUUGCGCAGGAUUAAAAAAAUAUAAAUGAAACUCAUAUUAUCUACAAAAAAUAGUUCAUUAUCAUUAGUUUAUCAACAAACCAAACAUGCACUCACACCUGCAUUUAUAAUCUCAUCUAAUGUUAUUAGGUUGGUAUUCUUGGAGUACAAAUUAGUAUAAAGGCUAAUAUAUAGUGUGAGUGACUAAGAGUUUAGAUAUCACCACUAUGAAUAUUUUGUAAAUCAGUUCUCCAUAUGAUUUUUCAUCCUAAAUUCACGUAUCCUUUGAAGCAUGAUAAUUAUUAUAUUAUUAUUACCAAAUAUGGGUACAACUAUAUAAACAAUCAAAUUUUGACCAAUAAUUAAGGUCUUGUAUAAUUUUAUAGAUGUAAAUGAAAGUAACAUAUCAUUUCCAUUUAGGAACGUUACUAACAUCCCAAUCACUAAUAAUUGUAAUUUAUUAGAAAUUUCCAUAUCUACGAAUGAUUAUAAUUUGGCCUUCUAAAUCAUGUUUGUAAUGUACACUCUCGCUAAUGGAUAUUGAUUACGGUCAACUAAAUGUUCUUACCACACAUUUUUUUUUUUUAUCAGUUAAGUAAAUAAGAUGAACCGUAGGCAUUUUGAUUUUUUUUUCAUGUAAAUCUGUCAAUUUACAUGACAUGUUCAUACAAUCAUGUGGGUCUCCUCAUACGCGCUUCAUUUGAUCUCUAAAACUUAAUCUAUAUAAUCAUUUCAUAUAUUGCACAUAAUUUUUUUCUAAAUGAAGUUUAUGAGUAAAUACGUUAUAGUAACACUAAAAAUAUUGUUUUUUAGAAAUGUUAAUAUGGAUUAUAAUAGUAUAUUUUGGAUACAAAUAAUCGAUGAAACAUGUUUGUUAUUCAUAUAUAUAUAUAUCGUAUUGUUAAAUAUCAAGCAUAUGACUAUAAACAAAAAUGAAUGAUACGUAUAGUUAUAUGGUCUUUUUAUGAAAAUAAAUGAUUCAUAUAGUUAUUGUUAAUAAUUGGUAUGACUAAUGGUAUUUUUUGUAAUUAGUCUAGUGAUUGAUGGUUUGAUAGUUAAGUAUUGUGAGAGAGUCUAUGGUGGUGACACCUAAACAAAAUGGCAUGUUUGUAAAUAAUUUACAAAGUAAAGGUUAGAUUUUAAAAAUGCUUCUUGAUUAAUAAGUAAGUGAUAGAAAAGGUUUUAAAAACGGUGUAAUUUUGUAUGCAAGUCAGUUAGUAUACACUUUGUUCAGUGUUAUACUUUUAAUUUUCUUUCUGAUAUAAAUGCCACUUUUAUGUUUUAAUCGUUACCUGUGAAUGUUAACGUUUGUGAGUUUAUCUUAUCGUUAUUGCAUUGUUUCUUUUAUAAGGAUGAAAAAUUCGAAAAAUAAUGCGGUGUGCAGAUCUAUUUAAGGACAUUGUGAUCCUAUGACUGCGACUAGAUGAACCGGUGAACAUUGGGUGUGCAUUCUGAUUUUAGUAUUUAUAUGACGAGAUGAAAAAUGAUAUUUUAUGUUUGUCAUUGAUCUUUUGAAAAAUCCCGGUUUAAAAGUAUUGUAAAACUAAAGAUAAUUAUUGCAGGAGUAUGGGAUCUUAAGAGCAGGAUCUAUUUGUUGGUUCUUAAGUUAGCAUCUCUUUAUUAUCCUCUCCCCUAUACAAAUAAAUUAUUCAAGAAGUAAUUUAUUUAUGUGUAAUCACUAUAUUCAUUUUUUUAAAACAACAUGACUUCUAAAAAGCUAUAUAGUAUCAAGCUAGUUGUAACAUGAAUAAUUUCAUUUAUAUAAAUUUAUGUUUUGGUAAAUUUUAUAUAAUUUGGUAAUAAUUCAUAUUAACAUUAAUAAAAGUAAACUAAUAUUAUAUUUAUAAAUACAACAAUAUUUCCACAACUUAAAAAUAAAUAAAUAAAAUCAAAAAUAUUAUUUGAUAAAUGUUUCUUAUAUAUCAUUAUCACAUUCAUUCUCACAAAAAUGACAUAGCUGCUAUAAGAUAUGACAUGUCAUCAAGAUUAAUGUAACAAACAAUUUCAUCGAUGUAAACUCAUAUUUUUGGGAAAAUUUCUAAAAUAUGAUAAUAAUGGCAUAUAUCAUUAUUAAUUAAGUCAAAAUAUUUAGAUAGUUAAAUUUUGAAAUUUUAACCAAAAUCAAUUAAUGGUGUAAAAAUUAAUUUAAGUUUCUAUCAAUUUAUUCACAUUUAAUCAUGAUAAAGUAUCUAAGUUGAAAAAUUGACUGGUAAUUUACGAUAUUAAUUAAUAGAUUGAUUUUUGUAUCAUUUUAAUGUAUCUUAUAUAAAGCAAAAAUUCAUAUUUACUAUAUAUAGAUAUCAAAAUAAAUAUAGCCAUUAAAUGUACUAUAAUGGUUAUUUUUUAGGAAAUACAAAUUAAAACUACAAAUAAUUGUUUUAUAGUUUUAUUUGUCCUGCCUUCUCACUAGUUUCUGAUCUCCGACGUGAAUAGUGUAUUUCGGUCGAUGGAGUGGGCUUCCACAGCUACCGUCGGUCCGGUUUUUGCUUUUGUUUCUUUCGAUUUGCAUGUUCUUGAGGGAGGGAGAGGGACCGUUGUUUCCUCCCAACUUUUGUUUCCAUCUGAUCAACUCUUUUGACUCCGGGAAGUGGGAGUUUAGUCAGUUCCGGGGUGAAGUCUUUAAUAAGUCUUGUGUCGCCAGCUUUAGGUUAUCAACACAUCUAAUCAUGGUGAAGUUUAGUUAUAUGUGUUACCGAUUUGUCUGCUUCGGUUUUUUGAUGAGAUCUCUAAUAGAUCAAUCGAAGCUCUCCGAAGACGAAGCUAUGGUGAAGAAGACAAUCGGGAUGGAGGUUUGGUUUUAUCUGGUGUUUGGUGACUUGCUGGCUCAGGAUGAGAUCUCGAAGAUUUCGAUAGGAAGUUUUUCGUAGGAUGGAGCUCGGCCGUGGAGGAUGCAUGUGGGGUUCCAAAGUGAUUCCGGAGAAACACUGUUUGGUUUUUCCACCGCGGGGAAGAUGAAGGGAUAUGACGACAUGUCUUAUUCUCAUUGUUGAGGAUUAAACACGUGCUUUUGAUGUCUAGGGUUUGGUUCGGUGGGUAUUGGGCUUAGGUUUUUGGGUUUUUGUGGCCAAUGGUGUUUUAAUGUAGGUGUGGACUUUUCCUUGGGUUGUAAUAUAUAGUUUUUCGAGUUUGGUCCAGUUGGGCCUUGACCUUUAAACAAAAAAAUUUCAGAUGGUCAAAAAAAAAGUUUUAUAGUUUUAUUUUUUAAACCAAUAAAAUUAAAGUCUAAAGUUACUUAUAUUUAAUAUCGAUUAAAAUAAAAAUUAUUAUAAUCCUGCAAUGGGUAGAAAGUAAUGAAAACAAAAGAAAUAAGAAAGAAUGACAAUCAUUAUUUUAUUUUUUUGGUAAAAGUGACAAUCGUUAUUUAUUUGACGAAGUUUUAAAAAACCAAUAGUUGCCUAUAUUUGAUAUGUCAUGAGUGUUUUCAAAUUUUCUCAUUUAAUUAAUCAAUUUAUAUUGGUUCUAUCAAAACUAAACUGAUAAGAUACCCAUGAGAAUAUAUCUAACCAUGGAACUGCUUUAGGGCAUCUUCAACCUAAACUUAUUUUUCCUCUAUAAUUUUCACUAAAAUAGAGUAAUUUAUUGUUUCUGGUGAUCUGAAUAAGAACAUCCGCAAUUCAAACCUAUUUUUUUCUAUAAUUUCUACUAAAAUAGAGUAACUAUAUUAUAAAAUAAAUUUUGCUUCAAUAGUUUAUUUUAUAAUAUAGCUAAUCUAGAAAAUAGAGCGAUGACACUUUUUUACUUUAUAUUUAGAAUUAAAAAAAUAAAAUUCCUCUAUUUUCUCUUGUAUAAUAGAGUAAAAAAUAGGUUUGGAUUGAAAAUACUCUUAUUCAUUCAUAUCACGAGAAACAACGAAUAUACAUGAAGAUGAUUAGAGUAAUUUGUAUCAGUACUGGAGAGAGCAAAUCUAUUGGCACUGUGACGAUGGGCCACUUUUUAUUUAGGCCCAUAAGAGAUGGAGAGGUCAGAGAUUAUAAAAUAUAAUGUAGUGCCUCUAAUCAGAUAAGCUUAUAAUAAACGGGUUUGAAUUAGGAAUAGAUGAUGCAAUGUAACAACGCAAUAACGACUAAAUGUCGUUGGGCUCUGCUUCUAUUAGCUCAUGACUACUAUGGUAUGGCAGACCAUACAUACAGGAGCCUGGAGCCGUCGGAUAGACGGCCAACAAGAGACUCAUCAUAUUUGAUGAGAGUACUCCAAACGAAAUGAACAGAAUAAAACAAACGCCUAUUUUAGUGUCCAAUAAGCAGCAAAAGGCAAAAGCGAAUGCAUUAUAGAAAUGUUUCCAAGUCAAAAAAGACAAAACUGAACGUAUCAUGCGAUUAUUUGCAAUUAUAACGAAAUAGUAGGAUAACAAAGCGAACGUGGGGAAUGAUUUGAUGUAGCUUCUCGAAAUCCGACCCAUUUUAUAUCCUCCACUUUUUAUUUCGUUAUAUCUCAAAGAAAAUAAUUGAGAUUACAUUUUUUUUCGGAAAAUUAAUUUCCACGAUACGAAACCCGCUAGCUAUGAUUCUGGAACCGGCAGUAAGGUGUGUUUUAAUGGCUCGGUUGAAUAAAUUGGCUGCAGAUAUCUUCUUCAGAAAAUAGUCAUGAGAGAAAUAAAAUUUAAAAACAUGUAUUUUUUACAACAUUUUAAAAUACGUAUUUUAUAUAAAAUAACUAAAUGUUUCGGCGCCGAACUUCGGCAAAAUUUUCUUUUUUCUUGUCCACCUUUUUCUUUUUCUUUUUCUUUUUCUUAUAUCUUUUAUAUAACUUUUUAAUUUGCUUUUAUCACACCUCGUAUAUUCCUUUUCCCUUCCUACAUCUAUCGCAAGUUGGAACUGAAAACUGAUCAGAUUUUUUGUUUUAUUAGAUAACUAAAAGCCUAAAACUAUAAGAAAAAGAUGAAAUGCACAUCUUCAUAAAGUACGUUAUGUUGUUUGAUACCUUCAUUCUUCAACAUAUCACACAUGAUAUCAUGAAAUCCAAUGUCUGAAAGAUCGGCGUAAUAUUUACCAUAAAAUUGAUAUUACGUUAAUGGGCUCAUGGGGGGACAAGCGGUGCGACCGCCCCGGACGCAAAUCCGUGUCCCCCUAUAUAAUACUAAUUAAGAGGUCCAAUUUUUUAUAAAUCUAUAUUUUUAUAUAUAAAAAAAUUAUAAAUAUAAUAAAUAAAAUUGAAAAGGGUCCAAAAUUAUUUGAUAUGUACAAAAUAUACAAAAUAUUACUGAUUAAAUUUAAAAAUAUUUUAAACAUUAUCUGUAUAUAAAUUUUAGAGGGUAAAAAAAAUUUCUUGCCCUAGGAUUCUUAACAGUGUUGAGCGGGUAUAACAUUGUUCAAAAGAAGAGUAAACUGAUAUUACGUUAAUGAAAAAAGAUUCUCAAACUCACUGAUAAAAUUUACAUACACGUAGAAAAUCUUUUUACUACGUUUCUCUUUAUAACAUCUGAGUUAAAAGUUAAAACUAGGAAGGUGACAUAAUAUUUUUUUUAUUUGGGAGCUUAACAUCUGAGUUAAUCGUAUAGUGUGAGUCGUUUAGUGGGAAAGUAAACGACACCGUGAUCUGCUUUGUUGGAAUAUUGCCCUAAAUAAUAUGUUAUAUUAUAUUUAUGUUGCUCUAAAAUUAUAAAAUAAACUUGUGGUUUCACAUUCUUUGACCGCACGUUGUAUUAGAUAUUUCUUCCUUUUUGAUAAACUACAGGCCGCGACCGCUUUCAGUGGAGAAGGUGGCAUAUACUACUAUGAGAUAAUAGAACAAAAUAAUAGAGUGUUUAAUUUUUUUAUUUUUUUAAAAAGGAUUCGUAUUGUAUAUUACUAAUAAGGAAAAAUGCUAUGAUAAUUGAACACGUGAUGCACCGAAUUCAUGACGUGACCCUGGAGACCAAUACGUGCUUCAUCAAAAGCAGGCAUAUCUUUAAAUUUCAAACUAUUUGAUCAACGAGUUGAAUUGUUGUAAUUAGAUAAACAUAUAUAAAAGCUAAAACAUAUAUAAUGGGUUUUAUUAUAUCACAGAUAUAUAUGAAAUAAGUUCAAAAAAAGAAGAAGAUAUAUAUGAAAUGCGUCUUAUGUAUUUGCACCUGUCAUAAUGUCCUGUUCAAAAAAAAACGUCAAAAUGAAAUCGUAUCCUCGAACAAAUUAUGAUGUCAUAAUCUUACACAUGCAGUUUAAUAAUAUAGUACUCAACAUAAAAUUAAAUAUUAAAUAUUUCUCAAAAGUUAUACAAUAUAUAGGUUAAUCGGUAAACCAUGUGCAUGUAGCUGGGUGACGGAUAUCAUCUCAGUAUUCUUAAAAGAUAUGGAUUCAAAUUUUUGCUAACUCAGAUUAUAUAUAUGUGUUGAUCUGCAGAUAUGAACUAUGUUUUAGAUUUUAUUUGAAUAUUCUGAAAAAAUUUAUACGUAGAGAUUAGUUUGGGUUUUGGAUUCAGAACAUUUCCAACCAUUAAUACUAUUUUAGUAUCAAAACCAUAUCAUUUUAGUGUAAUUUCAACAUUAAAACUAAUAUUUUUUUUAAUCAUAACACUAAAUUUCACACUAAAACUAUUUUAUACUAUUAUUAGUAUUAAAUUUUUUAUUCAUUAUUUAUUUAAUUGUAUGUUUUAGUAAUAAAAUAAGUGAAUAGUGUUUUACUGGGAUGAAUAGUAUUUUAAUACGGUGAAUAAUAUCACAUUAAAUUUGGUGUCAAAUUUUAGUGUUUCACUAAAAUGAUGUGAUUUUUACAAUUAUAUUGAAAAAGAUUUAGUGUAAAAAUUAUACUAAAAUAGUGUGUUAGAAUUGGAUUGGAGAUGACCUCGGAACAACCAUAGGCUAGAAAAAAAAGAAGGUUAAUUGGUAAAAUAAUGUUGAUGCGUAGAACAAUAAUUGAAGGAACAUAUAAUUGUUGAAAACACGAUAGUGGUGCAGGGUGAAGAGAUAGACAAUGGGAUAAUGCAGCAUGCAGAAGACACGUGUGGAUAGUGGCUGACACGUGUGGGCAGUUAACAUGCAAGUGCAGCCACCAAAACAUUUAUAUAAUUUAACUUAAAAGGUUUAGCAAAUCUCAAACUUCCCUUUUGUAGUAUCACUAGGGAAUCUAACGCUCUUUAGCACAGUCGUUUUGGUUCUAAGCAUUUUCAUUCUAUUACUAUUUUUACUAUUUUUAGAUUUAAAUGCUGCAAUAACGAAAAAUUAUACCGAUGUCAAAAAAAAAAUAUACUUUUUAAAUAAUAUAUAUAUUUUUAAUUUGUUUAUUCUUAUAAAACAGAGAUUGUUAUUUUAUUUUUUAAAUAUAGAAGCAAAAUAAUAUAUCUCUAUUAUGUUUAAAGUUUUUUUUCAAAAUAACCUUUUACCUUUAAAUUUUCAUAAUUAUAACUGAAACAGAUAUUAUUUAGAGAAAUAUAGUUUUAAUAAGAAUAUAAAAUCACACUUUUUAUAUACAUAAUAAUAUUUUAAACAAAUUUCAAAUUUGAAAAUUUAUAAUUUUAUAAAACAUUUGUAAAAGUUAAAAGUAAAAAAAAUCAUUUUCAAAUUUCCUAAAUAUAAAUUACUUUUUGUUAAAAAUAUAACGUGAAAAUAUUUUUUAGAGACAAAGAUAACUUAAUGCAUUGAAAAGAAUCAGAUUUAUAUUUUAGAGUUAUUAUAUUUUAGAGGUAAAAUAGAACAAUAUAUAAGGAAUAAUAAUGCCAAAUAUCUAAUGAUGUAGUCGGUGCCAUGGCUAUUCUAACGUGGGUUUAAAAUCUGAGCUCGCUUUUGAUGAUAAAAACCGGAAAAAAAAAUCAUAACCUUAACGUUAAAUUAAAAUUAUGUUACUAUUCCGUUAAAAUUUUAUAUGUAGAUAAUACAUGUCAGACGAAUUUAUGUAUAAAUUGAUUAUAUUGAAACAAUGUCAUUUUGAUGCUUAGUUCUUUUUUAAACACCAUUUUGAUGCUUAGUUAAAAACAAUAUAUAUAAAUUGUGAUUGCAGAGAGUUGAAACUAUGAUCUAUUCCAAAUCACAUAUCUCCUCCACUUGUAACGUACUGUUUACAGCACAAUAAUUAUUAUAAUAAAAAUUAUAUAUAUUUUUUAUGUUGACAUUGCUCUUAAGCUAAUAUGAUUGUAUUUUUUAGGUCAAUGAUCUUCUCUAGCCUAAAUGUGUAGUUAAGAUCAACAUCGCAAAGUUAGAGGAGAGGAAAGGCGAUAGAUUGAACGAAGUGAAAUCGGAGAGAAUGGAGAGAGAAGGGAGAGAGAUGGGUGAAGGUGGAGAUCCGAUGAGAUACGGGAGAGCAGAGAUGAGUGAGAGGGAUGGACGGAUAUUGGAUGAAUGAAGCGAAAGUGGUGAUGGUGGAAAGAGAGUUUAAGUGCGAAGCUCUGGUAGAGAGACGUGUGAAGUGUUUAGUUUUUGUCAGUUGCUUCCUCUCUUACCGGAGAGCAAUGAUGAUGAGUGGAUGUGCAAAAAAGUUUAUAUUUCUCUUAAACGAAUCAGAUAUACAUGUUAAUUUUGUUAUAAUUAUUAUUGUGCUGUAAAUAAAAAAUAAAAAAUGUAAGUAGAUUAGUGGAUGGAAAUGUUAUGAUUUGGAAUAGGUCAUCAUCAUAUGUUAAAUUCUCUCCAAAUGCAAAUUAUAUUGGAAUAGCUAAGCGUAUAAUUUGAAGAUAUAAUCAAUGUCUAUAAAAUUUGAAGAUAAAUUCGACUGACACAUGCAUGUUAUCAAUGUAUAUAAAAAUUUUGACAGAACAGUAACAAACGUUUUUAAAUUUAACGGAAAUAACGUAUUUGCACAAAACUAAUAAAUUAUAUAUAAAUUUUAAAUUUUAGAACAUGUGGAAUAUGUUUUUUCACCGUCGUACAAGCCGGAUAUAUAUUGAAUAUAUCAUUAUAUUUCAGUAGAUUAUGACCGUUUUCCUUUAAUAAUCACAUACACAUUAAUGUCUAAAACAUAUGCGUUGUGUGCCGACUAGACCUCUCGUUUUAAUAUGCUUAUACUACUCUAUGAGCAUAGUGUUUGUAGAUCAUCACUCCAAAAGUUGGUGUGAUCAAAGUAUUCCCGAAGUAUAUUACUUUUAAACUAAUGUAAUCUCCUCAAUUCGAUAUACGUAUUACGCUGGGAAUACAAUAUCAUCAAAAGGAAGAAUACAGCAUCAUUACAAACAAAAAGAACAAAGCAAAUUGUAAUCUUUUUUUUUUUUUAACACUAGCAAAUUGUAAUGAAAAGGAUGGAAAUGGCGCCAAAGGCCAAAGCAUUGACAUGAACAGUGAGUCCACAAGACGCGCGAGUUGUGUCUUUCUUUUUUUUUUUUAUCAACUGGUAUUAUUAAACAAAGACAAAGUACAAUAAAGACUUAAAAAGGCAAACAUAAAGAUUACAAAGAGGGUCAAAGCCCAAUAACAAAAGAAGGCAAAUGGAAGAUCGUGAUUUUGCCAAGAUAGCUCACACGUGUAGAGCUCCAAACUCGGGAGGAACACGUACGUGUUUUUGAGCAGAGACGUCACCAACUUCACCCAGAGGUAAGUCGUUGCCGGACGGACAAGCCGGCGUUCCACCGGAGACAUACCGGAGACAGGAAGCACGGGAAAGAGAAGCCGGCCACGAGCCGGCCACGACAAGAUUUCGAUUCAGCAUAGAUGGAACCAAAACAACGCUUCGAUCUAUAAACCCAGGACCAAUCGAAUAAAAAGAAAUUAAAACCAAACAAAAGUCUCAAAUCCUUACAAACAAACCAAAUCAUCUUUUAAAAUAUAAGUAAGCUUGAAGAUAAUUAAACCCUAACAAAGAGGGGAGGAUGAAAUAAAUCGAUUUAAAAUUUUUGAUUCGAUUGAAAACUUACGAUUAGAGAAGCGAGGAUGAUUCAGAGAAACUAAGAAAAGAGAAUAAAAAAACGAAACCGGACAAGAUCCAGUAGAAGAAACUACA
Brassica rapa (field mustard) is the source of this 17162-nucleotide long non-coding RNA. RefSeq lists it as uncharacterized. NCBI's taxonomy places the organism in Eukaryota, Viridiplantae, Streptophyta, Magnoliopsida, Brassicales, Brassicaceae. The record is from RefSeq and is a predicted model, not a curated record.